This 447-nucleotide ribosomal RNA is filed under the name uncultured bacterium. RNAcentral describes it as "bacterial SSU rRNA". It matches the Rfam family "Bacterial small subunit ribosomal RNA", at positions 329 to 793 of the family's 1533-position model. The record is from RNAcentral.
AGCCAGACUCCUACGGGAGGCAGCAGUGGGGAAUAUUGCACAAUGGGGGAAACCCUGAUGCAGCGACGCCGCGUGAGUGAAGAAGUAUUUCGGUAUGUAAAGCUCUAUCAGCAGGGAAGAAGUUGACGGUACCUGAGUAAGAAGCCCCGGCUAACUACGUGCCAGCAGCCGCGGUAAUACGUAGGGGGCAAGCGUUAUCCGGAUUUACUGGGUGUAAAGGGAGCGUAGACGGCAGUGCAAGUCUGAAGUGAAAGCCCCGGGCUUAACCAUGGAACUGCUUUGGAAACUGUGCAGCUGGAGUGCAGGAGAGGUAAGCGGAAUUCCUAGUGUAGCGGUGAAAUGCGUAGAUAUUAGGAGGAACACCAGUGGCGAAGGCGGCUUACUGGACUGUAACUGACGUUGAGGCUCGAAAGCGUGGGGAGCAAACAGGAUUAGAUACCCUGGUAU